RNAcentral lists this ribosomal RNA (433 nucleotides) under uncultured bacterium. RNAcentral describes it as "bacterial SSU rRNA". It matches the Rfam family "Bacterial small subunit ribosomal RNA", at positions 29 to 507 of the family's 1533-position model. The record is from RNAcentral.
AACGAACGCUGGCGGCAGGCCUAACACAUGCAAGUCGAGCGAGGUAGCAAUACCUAGCGGCGGACGGGUGAGUAACGCGUGGGAACGUACCCUUUGCUACGGAAUAGCCUCGGGAAACUGGGAGUAAUACCGUAUGUGCCCUUCGGGGGAAAGAUUUAUCGGCAAAGGAUCGGCCCGCGUUGGAUUAGGUAGUUGGUGGGGUAAUGGCCUACCAAGCCUACGAUCCAUAGCUGGUUUGAGAGGAUGAUCAGCCACACUGGGACUGAGACACGGCCCAGACUCCUACGGGAGGCAGCAGUGGGGAAUCUUAGACAAUGGGCGCAAGCCUGAUCUAGCCAUGCCGCGUGAGUGACGAAGGCCUUAGGGUUGUAAAGCUCUUUCAGCUGGGAAGAUAAUGACGGUACCAGCAGAAGAAGCCCCGGCUAACUCCGUG